UCGCUACUACCGAUUGAAUGUUUAGGUGAGAUCUUCAGACUGGAGCGUUACCGCUGGCAACAGCAGUGAUGCCCUGGGAAGUUGCUCAAACUUGAUCAUUUAGAGGAAGUAA
RNAcentral lists this ribosomal RNA (112 nucleotides) under uncultured eukaryote. RNAcentral describes it as "partial small subunit ribosomal RNA". It matches the Rfam family "Eukaryotic small subunit ribosomal RNA", at positions 1676 to 1785 of the family's 1831-position model. The record is from RNAcentral.